RNAcentral lists this ribosomal RNA (468 nucleotides) under uncultured bacterium. RNAcentral's name for it is "partial 16S ribosomal RNA". It matches the Rfam family "Bacterial small subunit ribosomal RNA", at positions 28 to 507 of the family's 1533-position model. The record is from RNAcentral.
GACGAACGCUGGCGGCGUGCUUAACACAUGCAAGUCGAACGGAAAGGCCCUGCUUUUGUGGGGUGCUCGAGUGGCGAACGGGUGAGUAACACGUGAGUAACCUGCCCUUGACUUUGGGGUAACUUCAGGAAACUGGGGCUAAUACCGGAUAGGAGCUCCUGCUGCAUGGUGGGGGUUGGAAAGUUUCGGCGGUUGGGGAUGGACUCGCGGCUUAUCAGCUUGUUGGUGGGGUAGUGGCUUACCAAGGCUUUGACGGGUAGCAGGCCUGGGAGGGUGACCGGCCACAUUGGGACUGGGAUACGGCCCAGACUCCUACGGGAGGCAGCAGUGGGGAAUAUUGCACAAUGGGCGGAAGCCGGAUGCAGCAACGCCGCGUGCUGGAUGACGGCCUUCUGUUUGUAAACCGCUUUCGCCUGUGACGAAGCGUGAGUGACGGUAAUGGGUAAAGAAGCACCGGCUAACUACGUG